Molecule: long non-coding RNA, 450 nt
Organism: Oreochromis niloticus (Nile tilapia)
Lineage: Eukaryota; Metazoa; Chordata; Actinopteri; Cichliformes; Cichlidae
Source: Ensembl
GUUUUAUUUAUUUAUUUUUAAGUUUUUGGCCAUUUGCUAAACAAAACUGAAUUAAAGCCUGGACACUUUGUAAAGGCUUCUUUUUGCCUGCUCCUCCAACAGCGUGCUGACAUUUUAGCAUUAGUGGCUCUGUCAGAGUGUGAAAGAAUCAACCCUUACCGUCCCCCCAUAACACCCCAGGAUAGAACUCUGUCUGCGAGGUAUGUGUGUUUUGUGGUUUCUCUGCACCAAGCAACGUUGUUUUUCAUUCAGUCCUGUUACCUGCUGUGUGGCACUGGGAAUGAAAGCACCGUGUAGACUUUCAGCUCCUCUAAAUCCACUCAAGAUGACUCUGUAACAAGAGUGUCAAAGUUCAGAUCAGACAAUAUUCUUGCUCGGUCUUUUCACAAAACCACUGUGCUGUCCAAUUGCAUCACUUUGCAGCCAUCCGUGCUCCAUCACCCAGCCUAG